AGAAGAUGGGUUUCCAAUUCGUCAACAGGCCACGUAUAUCUGGCCGUGGGAAAAACAUAGCAUUUCCCGAUUUCCUUGUGUCCUGUUGAUUGUCAACACAAAGGCAAUUUUCCCUGGAAAUUGAAUACGUUUGAACUGAAAUGGCUGUCCCUUGUAUUCGAUAACUGCGUCAUAAUCAGUCGGGUUCCAUUACACAGUUUCGGCGCAUAAAGAUUGUGAAACGUAAUAAUGACAGAUCCAACUGUGAAACGCAAUUUGGAAAUUCCACUGGAUAAUUUACGGUUUCGUCUUCCUUGUCAAGACGAACGAUCGAUUUAUAUGAGCGCAAACCUCCCAGAAUUUGACUUAGAAUCUUCCAGCUUAAGUCAUUAACAUCGGUAUUUUUGGCAGCUAAAAGUGCGUGUGCACUCAAGCAAUUGCAGUUACGAUAAUUUGACCAAUGUUCGGAUAAACAUUCGUGAUGAAUUCAUCUUCAGUUGAAGUGAAUUGACAAAAGGGAGGUGAAAUUGGUAUCAAAUCACUGGAAGUAUCAACCGAAAUUUGCCCAUUUCCAAUUCUAAGCGAAUACAAUAUAAAAUGUCAUCGGCUAUGUCAUUUUUUCGUAUCCCGUAAUUAACGCGAAUUUGAAGGCUGAUAUGCCGAAAUCAUCUUCGCGAAAAGUAUGCUAACUUCAGUGGCAUGCGAAGUAACUAUCGCAUUGUCCUUCGUCUGUUUCCAGUGAUUAUCAUAUUUCAGCAAAUGCAACUGCUGGCAUGCUUCUCAAAAAGUUGCACACACUGUACCAUUCACAAUACGCAAUGACUUAAAUGAAGUUGAACCGCGAGGCGCACAACAGUCGACAAACUUUCAUGAAUUGCAAAAGUAAAUAUCCUACAAAGCGCUUUAUUGCAGUUCACACCCAUUCGAUACUGCUGAUCUCAUAUCGUUCAAGGCCAAUAACAGCUAUGUUGCUUUCUUUGGAGACGUACUUUGCAAGCGUAUUUGAUCGAUUUCACCAAUCUUCAAUAUUCAAAAUUGACAUGAGUUUUGAAUGUGAAUUAGACAAAAGUGGCGAAUAUGGUACGAUCCAUGUGUUCUCAGCUUCGAUGUGUUGUUAACGUCGAUAUUCACGCCUCUAAAUGCUAAAUGUUCUGCCAUUGUCGUCUGGUGAGCGACGCUGAUACAGUGAAUAUCCAUCAUUCCCAUUUCCGUUUCCGAAAGAAAGCACAUGAGUAGUGUUUCGUGCAUUUAUUGUCAAACAUACAAACCAAAGUGGGAUUGUAAGGUUUGCAAGGUCCAUGAACCAUAUUGGUUUUCACCACUACGUAUAAUUCUGGAUCUAUCUCUGAAUCAGGAAUUUCCGCUGAAAUGAUUUCAUCAAUUUGAUCUGGUGUAAUCACCAUCCGCAUCCAAAGAAGAAUGUGUGCGUGCGGCAAACCUCUUUUUUGCUACUCAAGAGAAUACAUUCAGCAUCUAACAGCACCAUAUAUACCAUAGGUUGCUUCAAGAUAAAGACCAUCAAACAUCGCAGUUAUUUUUUAAAAAGUCGAGCUGUGAUAUCGUUACGAUCGCUAGCUGAUUGACCGCGAUCUAUAAUUCCGCACGUAUGUCAUCGCAUUUUGGGAGUACUUCUUGCCUUUUCUUGGGCUGCCAUACGUUGAUGGCAAAAAGAACGCCGACCAAUAUUAGCGCGACCUCUUAGUGGCUUCAUAACAAAUUUCAAUAUGCAAUUGUUCAGAUUGUGUGAAACACAUAUAAAGUUUUCACUGAAUAAUUUCAAAUAAUUUUUCCUUUGGAUAGCCGGAAUAAAAAAGCAAGCCAUCAAAAUUGAACAAUUCAAAUAAUUUACAAAUCUAAAUAUUGAAAAACAAAACAAACAAAAAUUGAAAAAAAAUGUGUAUGGAAAAUGUUACUUUUUGGAAUUUUCCAAUUAUCCGACUUCUCCUCAAUUAAAGUAUAAGGUAUUCUGUUUCUAAACCUUUCCCGAUCCACAACAAACAACCUUUCAAUUUCAAGAUUGGUUCAACCGUUUUCUUAGUUUUACUAACAAACAAACAUUAAUUUUUAUUGUAACGUUUGUAUGGGGAAAAGAAAAGGGCUGUUUUUAGGGGUUUUCGGGAAAUUAUUCGAAUUUUUCUCGUCGUAAAAACCAUCUUUGAACUUCAACGAACAUUUAAGAAAAAGAAUUGGCCAAAUUCGUCCAGGCGUUAUUGAGUUAUGAGCGUACAUAUGUACAUUUUGACGAUUCAUUUUUAUUUAUAUGGACUAAUAUGUUUUUCCACUCACAGUCGUUAACUCACUGAAAACACCAGGUUCGUCGCCGAGCGCGACAAGUUAAAUCCCACGCGCAAAUUACUGGCGGAGACUCUCCAGCAGUUGCAAUAUAAGAAUUUGAGGAGCAGGUAAUUGCAACCUUUGGCGCAGCAGCGGUUGAUGAAUUGUCGGGUGUUGGGAUAUUGGAUCACCAGGUAUUUUUUAAUUUAACACACAAUAUAAUAUAAUACCCAACAAUUACCUCCCGCCCAACCGACGCGAAGGGCGCAAUCCGCCAACGGAGUUUCUGCUCAGCUACAGAAACAAAAAUUUCUACAGCCAAAAUUUGGAAUUAGAUUAAUGUAAGUUUAUUAUUUUUAAUUGUUAAGAGAAGAUGAAAUAAUUUUUUAAUACCAAUAUCAUCGGCAUACGCCAGCAGCUGUACACUCUUAUAGAAGAUGGUACCUUCUCUAUUUAGUUCUGCAGCUCGAACUAUUUUCUCCAGAAGCAGGUUGAAGAAGUUACACGAUAGGGAGUCGCCUUGUCUGAAACCUCGUUUUGUGUCGAACGGCUCGGAGAGGUACUUCCCGAUCCUGACAGAGCUUUUCGUGUUGUUCAAAGUCAGUUUACACAGCCGUAUUAGUUAUUCGAUGUCUGAAUUUGGUAUCCCCAAUUCAGACAUCGCGGCAUAAAGGCAGCUCCUUUUCGUGCUGUCGAAAGCAGCUUUGAAAUCGACAAAAAGGUGGUGUGUGUCGAUUCUCCUUUCACGGGUUUUUUCCAAGAUUUGGCGCAUGGUGAAUAUCUGGUCGGUUGUUGAUUUGCUAGGUCUAAAGCCACACUGAUAAGGUCCAAUCAGUUUGUUGACGGUGGGCUUUAAUCUUUCACCGAAUACGCUCGAUAGAACCUUAUAUGCGAUGUUAAGGAGGCUAAUCCCACGGUAGAUGGCGCAGAUUGUGGGGUCUCCUUUUUUAUGGAUUGGGCAAAUCACACUUAAAUUCCAAUCGUUGGGCAUGCUUUCGUCCGACCAUAUUUUACAAAGAAGCUGAUGCAUGCUCCCAAUCAGUUCUUCGCCGCCGUGUUUGAAUAGCUCGGCCAGUAGUCCAUCGGCCCCCACCGCUGUGUGGUUCUUCAGGCGGGUAAUUGCUAUUCGAACUUCUUCAUGGUCGGACAUUGUACGUUCACUGCCAUUCAGCAGGCUGGAGAAGUGUUCCCUCCAUAAUCUAAGUAUGCUCUGGGCAUCGGUUACUAGAUCACCUUUGGGGGUUAUACAAAAGUAUGUUCCGGUCUUGAAACCUUCUGUAAGCCGACGCAUUUUUUCGUAGAAUUUUCGAGCAUUACCCCUGUCGGCCAGCUUAUCAAGCUCUUCGUAUUCACGCAUUUCGGCCUCUUUCUUCUUCUGUCUGCGUCUCGCUUCCCUCUUCAACUCUCGGUAUCUAUCCCAUCCCGCACGUGUAGUGGUCGAUCGUAACGUUGCGGGGUAGGCAGUCUGUUUUCUCUCCGCUGCGACACGGCACGCCUCGUCGUACCAGCUGUUCCUUUGCACUUUCCGAAAACCAAUAGUUUCGGUUGCAGCUGUACGUAAAGAGUUUGAAAUGCCGUCCCACAGUUCCCUUAUGCCGAGUUGUUGACGAGUGCUCUCAGAAAGCAGGAGUGCAAGCCGAGUAGAAAAUCGUUCGGCUGUCUGUUUGUGAUUGCAGCUUCUCGACGUCGAACCUUCCUUGUGUUUGGUGGCGUGCGUUUUUUGCUGCACAGAGGCGGGUGCGAAUCUUGGCUGCAACAAGAUAGUGAUCCGAGUCGAUGUUAGGACCUCUGAGCGUACGCACGUCUAGAACACUGGAGACGUGUCUUCCGUCUAUCACAACAUGAUCGAUCUGGUUGGUGGCUUUUCGAUCCGGAGACUGCCAGGUAGAUUGAUGUAUCUUCUUGUGCUGGAAUCUAGUACCACAGAUAACCAUAUUUCGGGCCCCGGCGAAGUCAAUCAGCCUCAACCCAUUUGGGUUUACUUAUUAUCCUAUCUUCUCCUGACUUCUCUUUUCCCAUCCUCCCUUUUCCUAUCAAUUUCUCCUACAAUCCCUUAUGAUGCCCCCAAACCAACAGCAGCGAAAAUGCCAGUGCAAAAAAAAAUGGAGACAUACGAGACACGGGAGGAGCAGGCCAUUACUCUACAAAAAAAAAAAAAAAUGAGCAAAACGAGCUGUUGACGGGGGUAUUGAGCCAAAUGACACCAGCACUAACAGAAAUGACAACGAUGCUCAAUAAACUUGCAGAAAAAUUAAACAAAGAAUUUUCUUAAGUAUUCUCCUUGUUUGGGCGGAGACCUGAGAAUUGGUGGUAAUCAACGAAAUCGGUCCAGGCGUUCUCCAGUAAGCGUAGUAACUAACGUCACUUUCUUUUAUAUAUAUCGAUAUAUAUAAUUAAUUUCUUUUAUAUAUAGAAAACGAAAAAGCUUAACAAGGAGAAAAAGGUAAGCAUUGUGAUUUGAAUGUUGUGUGUAUAAUUAAAAAUUUUAAUAUUACAGAAAUCAUUUGGAGCAUUUGGAGAAUUCAAAUAUAUUGUAAAUUACAAACAAAUAAAGGAUUUGCGACGUGAAUAUUUGAUUGGUAUCGUAAAGAAUGAGAAAACCUUUUCAAACCUCUUGAGCAAGGAAAAAUCGAAAUUU
Molecule: long non-coding RNA, 4891 nt
Organism: Bactrocera neohumeralis
Lineage: Eukaryota; Metazoa; Arthropoda; Insecta; Diptera; Tephritidae
Exons: 3
Source: RefSeq, a predicted model, not a curated record